This 841-nucleotide long non-coding RNA is filed under the name Bos taurus (domestic cattle). Its description in RNAcentral is "long non-coding RNA NONBTAT030531". The record is from RNAcentral. Lineage: Eukaryota; Metazoa; Chordata; Mammalia; Artiodactyla; Bovidae.
ACAUCCCUCGGCUGUACCUAAUGUGUUUUAAGACACGUUCUUACUAAAAAUCUUGAAACCAUUGAUUCGGAGAUCAGAAGGAUUGACAGAAUCAGCAUAGACCAGGAAGUAGAAUAGAGAUACUGUAUCUUUUAACAAUAAGAGAGAACUUUUGCCAGUCUUCUGGUUAUCAGGCACAAAUCUUUAUAAUAAGUAAAUAGACAUUUAAUUGCUACCUUCAGGAAAAUACGUUGCAGAAAAAUUUUCAUAACAUUUUACUUUGUCUAAAAUAUGGCAUCAUUGAAACCCAGUAAGAUUCAAUAGAUUGAACCGUGUUUAUAUUUUCAAGAUUAGUCUCGUUUAAGAUAAAUGAUAUGCUUUUGUCUACAUUAGUGUUAAUAAGUAAAUAAAGAUGAUUUUACUAAGAAUGUUUGAAUUUUAUGGUUGGCAUUUUAUGUGUAGAAACCUGUGGUCCAAGGUAAUUGAAAGUAUCUUCAUGAUUUUGAUGAUAUUUCUAAGUAGAGGAAUGGACAGAACACUGAUUUUAUGAGAAGAGCAAUUUUUCUUUGCUAAGAUCACUAUCACUAACUACAAAGAUGAUAAUUUGUUUAUGUCAUUUAAUUUGUCAGUAAUUUCCCCUUUGGUAAUUAAAAAAUGGAUAGAUGCUAAAUUAUUUUAGCUUUGGAGACAUAUUUAUCUUUCCUCUGAAGCAAUUCUAUAGAAAAAAUUAUACAGGAGAAGAAUGUCUUGCUGAAAUUUAUCAAUUAUAAGCAAAAUGUUAAAUGCUAUUGAUUUAUAUAUUGGAGAGUUUUCUUCAUAUUUUGCAAUUUAGCUUGUUAAAAUAGUAAAAUGUUUUGGAAGC